AAAUGAAAAGCAUUAUUAGGUAGAAAAAAAUGGCAAAAGUACUUUAGAGCUCUUCCCCCUCAACUCCUGGCCCCAUUUCAGGGCAGGAUAUAAUUUUAAGUCCUGACUCCUUUGGGAAAUGAUCAGACUGCCCUAAAGUAGAAUGUGAUUUUGACCUUUAACUAGGAAGAUUUAAAUAUAAACCAUCUUUUGAUGCCACAUGCCCUCUGUAACCUAUUAUUUCUUGCCUCUUUCAGAGCCAAACUUCUUAAAAUUAUCUACAUUCAGAACCUAUUUCUUUCCCCACUCCCAUUCAUUCACUCCUCAAAUCUCUGAAACCUGGCUUCUUAGUACGCCACUAAUUCUUAAGACUUUCCAUACAAGCAACCCAGAACUCCAACAAAUGCCAAACAGGUCCCAAGAACGAAAAAGAUGAGAGAGUAGAGUGUACCUGGAAAACAAGAAAAUCCAGCAACCUGUCUCAGGCAAAUACAUUGCCAGAUGAAAAGCAACAAAAAUUGUUCAUAAAUUAUCUCAGGAGCAAGAAACAGAGAAGCAAACAAUUUUAGAAAGACACACAAAUGUGAAUGCUGAAAACAGAUGUCACAGAACUGCAACUCAAAAGAGGCAUAAUGCCCAACAUUAAAAAAAAAAGUAAACAGAGUUGAAAUGGAGAGUCUUGCAUUGAGAUUGUCAAAUGCAAAAUAAAUAAAUGUAAAGUUCAUCACCAAAAGUAACACUAAUUUUCAUUACAUUCUCAAUUGCUGAGACAGAGUGAAAAAAAAAAUAGUUGCACCAUACUAUUGUUAGGAAGGUAUUUCAUUGAAACAGCAUGAGACUGGUAAAGGUCAUGUACACUAUAACUUAUGUGAGAUGCUACUUACGUGCAGUACAGCAAUUGUAACGGAAGUGUUCUACUGUUAUUUGCAAUAGUACAGUUUUAUACAUUACCACUUCGGCAAUUGCUUUAUUUCAGCAUAUUUAAAAACUUAAAAUAGGUUUUUCUGUCUUGUAUAUAAAAUACUAUGAAACAGUCACAAGGAAAUGGCUCUACAUAUGCUGACGCUGAGCCAGGAGAAUAAAUGCUGUCCAGUUCGAGGAGGACAACUGCUAAGAAACUAUAAAAGAUUCCACUUAAUACUACAUUAAUGACUAAAAGUCUAGUGGGGGAGGGUAAGGUAGCAGGAGAGUUGAGUUUUCUCUUGGCUCAAAGUCUUAAAACAUUUAUAACUUAGGUUAUGUCAAUUAUUAUGGUUACUGAACUUUAUCUUCCGGUGGUGAAGUAGCUCAAACAAGUCCCCACGCUAUUCAAUCUGAAAAGCACCUAUGUGCUAAAUUCAUCAAAUGAGGAGUUAGGUGUGAAGAGGGUGGCUCUGAUGAACAUUUCCUAAAACGUUUUAAGAUAGAACUCACUGAGGAUUAACCUUUACGGCAAAUCCAAAUGCACACAGCACCCUCAAAGAUUCUAUAUCAAAUUAAGAAUUAUGAAUAUGUACCUACUUACAUAAUUGCUUACAAUUGCACAUCUCUGCAAUUCCCUUACAUGGCUAUAUUCAAGAACAUUUAUAUUCAAUUAAAUUUAUCUUCAAACACAGAUGGUCCCAAUUUAUGAUGGUUCGUUCGACUUACGGUUUUUCAACUUUACGAUGGUGUGAAAGCGAUAUGCAUUCAGUAGAAACCAUACUUCAAAUUAUGAAUUUUGAUCUUUUCCAAGGCUAGCAAUAUGCAGUCCAAUACUCUUUUGUGAUGCUGGGCACACACAGCAAGCUGCAGCUCCCAGUCAGCCACGCGAUCAUUAGGGUAAACAAUUCACACAACCGUUCUGUAGCCAUACCACCAUUCUGUUCUUCACUUUUAGUCCAGUAUUCAUUAAAUUACAUGAUAUUCAAUGCUUUAUUACAAAAUUGGCUUUGUUAGAUGAUUUUGUCCAACUGUAGGCUAACGUCAGUGUUCUGAGCACAUUUAAGGUAGGCGAGGCUAAGCUACGAUGUUUGGUACAUUAAGUGUAUUAAAUUCAUUUUCAACUUAAAAUAUUUUCAAUACACAAUGGGUUUAUUGGGACAUAACCCAACCCUAAGUUGAGGAAGAUCUGUACUUACUCUUGCAAAGAAAUGUUUUCUAGUGCCACCUUCAUUAUCCAAACCUAUUAAAAAUUGAGAAAUAAAAAUCAUAGGAUAAAUAGGGCUCAUUUUUCUGGUUAAUCAUUAAAUAUGGACAUUUGGAUUUCAAAUCUUGACCUUGGGAUAUUUACUGCAUUACCUUUAGCGGCAUAUUAAAUCUAGCAGCUAAAACUGUGUGUUUGUUACAAACACAACAGUGGGUUGACUAAACUAGAAAAUGUUUUAAUUUUUCCAGAAUAUUGUUAACUCAAAAUGUUUAAAAUAUGAAAUAUUAAAAGUUUCCAGAAUUAAAGAUCUUCCCUAGGGAAACUCCAACUGUUGAACCCUGAAUGGCAUGUUCAUCUAUGUACACUUACAGAAACGUACAUUAGAAAACAUUUAACUCAAUCUAAGGUGAGGUCUGGAAAGAUCUUUUGGUAAAAUGCUUUUCUCUUUUUCCCCCUUAAAUUUGCUUGUCUCAACUCUGUGAUCAGGUUAGAAUAAUCCCUAAUGUAACUGUUAGGUCUAUAUUGCAUUUGGGUUGCUGGGAUUUCAUUUCUGAGACAGGUAAGAAAAUUGUUUCUACUUUGGAAAACAGAUACAGAAAGGCAGACAACGUGACAGACAGCUGUUCUCUCAUAGCUUGGAAUAUAAAAGCAUUACCUUAGAACUUUGUAAGGCAUGAAACAUUUUUCAUAAUUUAGAACAUCAUUUUCUUCUAGAGAAUUAGCUACAGCGAUUCUCAAUGAAGACAGGGCCUGAUUUUCAUAAUCAACUGUGGGCUUUUUAAGCUGUACAGGUGCACAAGCAAAAUCUUACUGUUACGUAAUUUUUUUUACUUUAGCCACUCCAGGCACUACCAUAACCUCUUAUUAUUUUGCAUUCCUUAUGUGGUAUGGGUUGAAAAAAGAUUGUUGCCCUAUAUCUUCACUAUAUCAAAGGAAGAAAUGGAACUGUAUUUUGAUAAGAACUUAGUCAUACAAGUUUGAUUUAACAAACUGUUGAAAGAGUACAUCUGAGGUAAUCCCUGUCCUCGUGGCCCUAACUGCUCUGGGACUACUUUUUAAAAACUUAAAAAAUCCAAAACAAAUUUACAUGUCUCAAAGUCCUUUGCUAAAUGCUUUACAUAGAUUAUUUUGUUUAAUCCUCACCAACACUGCUAUGAAGCUAUAUUGUCACUGAAGCUUAGAAUGUUACUAAUUUCUGUGAUACUGAGCAAGCCAUUCAAGAUAAAUUUCAAACUGAAGCAACAGGAAUCCAGAGGCCACUGGUAUUAUUCUCCA
Molecule: long non-coding RNA, 3361 nt
Filed under: Equus caballus (horse)
Lineage: Eukaryota; Metazoa; Chordata; Mammalia; Perissodactyla; Equidae
Description: lncRNA (ENSECAG00000059805.1)
Source: RNAcentral